Molecule: ribosomal RNA, 465 nt
Filed under: Vreelandella stevensii
Lineage: Bacteria; Pseudomonadati; Pseudomonadota; Gammaproteobacteria; Oceanospirillales; Halomonadaceae
Description: partial 16S ribosomal RNA
Rfam family: Bacterial small subunit ribosomal RNA
Source: RNAcentral
CCUACGGGCGGCUGCAGUGGGGAAUAUUGGACAAUGGGGGGAACCCUGAUCCAGCCAUGCCGCGUGUGUGAAGAAGGCCCUCGGGUUGUAAAGCACUUUCAGUGAGGAAGAACGCCUGGUGGUUAAUACCCAUCAGGAAAGACAUCACUCACAGAAGAAGCACCGGCUAACUCCGUGCCAGCAGCCGCGGUAAUACGGAGGGUGCGAGCGUUAAUCGGAAUUACUGGGCGUAAAGCGCGCGUAGGUGGCUUGAUAAGCCGGUUGUGAAAGCCCCGGGCUCAACCUGGGAACGGCAUCUGGAACUGUCAAGCUAGAGUGCAGGAGAGGAAGGUAGAAUUCCCGGUGUAGCGGUGAAAUGCGUAGAGAUCGGGAGGAAUACCAGUGGCGAAGGCGGCCUUCUGGACUGACACUGACACUGAGGUGCGAAAGCGUGGGUAGCAAACAGGAUUAGAUACCCCGGUAGUC